UACGAAGGGGGCUAGCGUUGCUCGGAAUCACUGGGCGUAAAGCGCACGUAGGCGGCUUUCUAAGUCAGGGGUGAAAUCCUGGAGCUCAACUCCAGAACUGCCUUUGAUACUGGGGAGCUCGAGUCCGGAAGAGGUGAGUGGAACUCCGAGUGUAGAGGUGAAAUUCGUAGAUAUUCGGAAGAACACCAGUGGCGAAGGCGGCUCACUGGUCCAGUACUGACGCUGAGGUGCGAAAGCGUGGGGAGCAAACAGG
RNAcentral lists this ribosomal RNA (253 nucleotides) under uncultured bacterium. Its description in RNAcentral is "partial 16S ribosomal RNA". It matches the Rfam family "Bacterial small subunit ribosomal RNA", at positions 524 to 776 of the family's 1533-position model. The record is from RNAcentral.